CAGUAUUCCCCUCCUUUGUUCGGUUGUGGUAGCCAGAAGAAUUUGGUGGAGUCAUGUGGGGAUCUUUAUGUAGUUGAUAGAUAUCUUGAUGGAGAUAGGAGAACAUGGAAUGAUUAUGAGAAUCUUGAUGUUAGGCGUCUUAGUUUCUCUUUUCGUCGAAGGAGAUACAGGAUGUGUAGUCCUAAAGCUAUUGCUUUCAGAAUUCAUAAGCUUGAUGAAGAGUGGGGUACAUGGGUUGAUGUGAAAUCAUUGGGUGAUAGAGCCUUUGUUUUGGGUGUGGAUUGUUCUUUCUCCAUUUCAUCUACUGAUUUUUUGGGAGGUAAAGGGAACUGUGUUUACUUCACAGACGAUGAUGAUGUUAAGGGAAAAGGAUUAAAAAGUGAUAGCAUUUUCCUGUUCCGAUUAGAGGAUCACAUCAUUGAGAAAGUAACAACAUUACCUGAGUACUCUGACGUAUUCUGGCCACCCAAAAUUUUCUCAGCAUGACCAAAUUUGGCCAGAAGUUUAAUGUGACCUGUUAAAAUUUCUGCAGUUAUGAAGGCGUAGGCUACUCCAACAUGUAAAUCAAUCAGAAUUUAGUUUCAGGCCCUCAUGAUCAACACCUUCCAUCGCAUUCUCUCUAGUGUAGUCAAUGUUGGUACUUCAAUCUUACAUAAGCAUGUGACUUGAGAUGUUGAUGAACCACAUGAAUUGAGGGAUGUUUAUGUACUAUCAACGUGUUUACAUAAGAGUUAUAUUUAACAAAAUAGAUAAACAGUGCACUUGCUUAUGUAAACAAGUUGAUAGUACAUAAACAUCCCUUAAUUCAUGUGGUUCAUCAACAUCCCAAGUCACAUGCUUAUGUAAGAUUGAAGU
RNAcentral lists this unclassified non-coding RNA (855 nucleotides) under Hevea brasiliensis (rubber tree). Lineage: Eukaryota; Viridiplantae; Streptophyta; Magnoliopsida; Malpighiales; Euphorbiaceae. The record is from RNAcentral.